This 73-nucleotide transfer RNA is filed under the name Candidatus Falkowbacteria bacterium CG10_big_fil_rev_8_21_14_0_10_43_11. Its description in RNAcentral is "tRNA-Thr". It matches the Rfam family "tRNA". Rfam says of the family: Transfer RNA (tRNA) molecules are approximately 80 nucleotides in length. Their secondary structure includes four short double-helical elements and three loops (D, anti-codon, and T loops). Further hydrogen bonds mediate the characteristic L-shaped molecular structure. tRNAs have two regions of fundamental functional importance: the anti-codon, which is responsible for specific mRNA codon recognition, and the 3' end, to which the tRNAs corresponding amino acid is attached (by aminoacyl-tRNA synthetases). tRNAs cope with the degeneracy of the genetic code in two manners: having more than one tRNA (with a specific anti-codon) for a particular amino acid; and 'wobble' base-pairing, i.e. permitting non-standard base-pairing at the 3rd anti-codon position. The record is from RNAcentral. Lineage: Bacteria; Candidatus Falkowiibacteriota.
GCCGAGAUAGCUCAACUGGUAGAGCAAUGGUAUCGUAAACCAUAGGUUAGGGGUUCAAGUCCCCUUCUCGGCU